This is a small nucleolar RNA of Ornithorhynchus anatinus (platypus), 138 nucleotides long. The record is from RefSeq and is a predicted model, not a curated record. NCBI's taxonomy places the organism in Eukaryota, Metazoa, Chordata, Mammalia, Monotremata, Ornithorhynchidae.
CCCCUUCUAAGGUCACACCUGGAGAGUUAACAGUACUCUACCAGUCUCAGCUACGGGAGGGAGAGUCAAGCAGAGGCAUACCCAUUCCAUUCCUAGCCUGGCCAGUGGUUAGCGAGUGGAAGGCAAUCUGCUACAAGU